GAUGAACGCUGACAGAAUGCUUAACACAUGCAAGUCGAUGGGGAAGUGGUGCUUGCACCAUGGCAACCAUGGCGGACGGGUGAGUAACGCGUAAGGGACUUACCUGCAGGACUGGGAUAACAGGGGGAAACUCCUGACAAGACCGGAUAAUGUCAUGUAGCUGCAUGGCUUUAUGAUGAAAGGAGACGCCUGCGGAGAGCCUUGCGUCCUAUUAGCUAGUUGGUGAGGUAAUGGCUCACCAAGGCGAAGAUAGGUAGCCGGCCUGAGAGGGUGGACGGCCACAAGGGGACUGAGAUACGGCCCUUACUCCUACGGGAGGCAGCAGUGGGGAAUAUUGGACAAUGGGGGCAACCCUGAUCCAGCAAUUCUGUGUGCACGAAGAAGGUUUUCGGAUUGUAAAGUGCUUUCAGCAGGGAAGAAGUAAGUGACGGUACCUGCAGAAGAAGCGACGGCUAAAUACGUG
This 463-nucleotide ribosomal RNA is filed under the name uncultured bacterium. RNAcentral describes it as "partial 16S ribosomal RNA". It matches the Rfam family "Bacterial small subunit ribosomal RNA", at positions 28 to 507 of the family's 1533-position model. The record is from RNAcentral.